AAACCAGCACCUCAAGUGGUCAGGAGGAUUAUUGGGCCUAAAGCAUCCGUAGCCUGCUCUGUAAGUUUCCGGUUAAAUCCAUUAGCUCAACUAAUGGCCUGCCGGAAAUACUGUAGAGCUAGGAAGUGGGAGAGGUAGACGGUACUCGGUAGGAAGGGGUAAAAUCCUUUGAUCUAUUGAUGACCACCUGUGGCGAAGGCGGUCUACCAGAACACGUUCGACGGUGAGGGAUGAAAGCUGGGGGAGCAAACCGGAUUAGAAACCCCGGUAGUCC
RNAcentral lists this ribosomal RNA (274 nucleotides) under uncultured bacterium. Its description in RNAcentral is "partial 16S ribosomal RNA". It matches the Rfam family "Archaeal small subunit ribosomal RNA", at positions 473 to 747 of the family's 1478-position model. The record is from RNAcentral.